This 463-nucleotide ribosomal RNA is filed under the name uncultured bacterium. RNAcentral's name for it is "partial 16S ribosomal RNA". It matches the Rfam family "Bacterial small subunit ribosomal RNA", at positions 28 to 507 of the family's 1533-position model. The record is from RNAcentral.
GAUGAACGCUGACAGAAUGCUUAACACAUGCAAGUCUUUGGCGAAGCUGUGCUUGCACAGCCUAGCCAAGGCGGACGGGUGAGUAACGCGUAAGGAACUUGCCCUGCAGUCAGGGAUAACAGACGGAAACGACUGAUAAGACCUGGUAAAGUCAGGCGGACUCAUGUCCAGCCUGAUGAAAAGAGAUGCUGCAGGAGAGCCUUGCGUCCUAUUAGCUUGUUGGUGGGGUAACGGCCCACCAAGGCGAUGAUAGGUAGCCGGCCUGAGAGGGUGGACGGCCACAAGGGGACUGAGAUACGGCCCUUACUCCUACGGGAGGCAGCAGUGGGGAAUAUUGGACAAUGGGGGCAACCCUGAUCCAGCAAUUCUGUGUGCACGAUGAAGGUUUUCGGAUUAUAAAGUGCUUUCAGCAGGGAAGAAAAAAAUGACGGUACCUGCAGAAGAAGCGACGGCUAAAUACGUG